Molecule: non-coding RNA, 294 nt
Organism: Vicia faba (fava bean)
Lineage: Eukaryota; Viridiplantae; Streptophyta; Magnoliopsida; Fabales; Fabaceae
Source: the annotation of a GenBank genome assembly
AUGAACAAGAAGGAACGAAGUGCUCGACCGGAAGGGAAAGGAAAAUGGAACGAUUUUCUUUUUUUACUCGCCCCCGGUCUCCUUUGGACCCAAAGCCCGCCCGCAUUCCAGCAAGCUAGCCCCGUAGGUUGGGGGAAGAGGGCAUUUCCAUCGCGAAGGAUUCCAUCCAGCCACAGGUUCCCCUACGGCUACCUUGUUACGACUUCACCCCAGUCGAAGACCCCACCGUGGUAUGCGCCAAUAAGACCACCAAAAGCCUUUGUGGCACUAGUGGUACACAGAAGUCAUGGGUGA